UCAGGCGCGGGCCCGGAUCCAAGAUCAAACUCAGCUGAAGUCAGUUCCUCUCAACCUGCCCUGGCAUCAAAGUCUCAAAGCAAGUGGGGGCCAACCAGCAACAACCCCAGGGGAGCUUUGACAACCACAGAAUUUGAGAUGGCUGGUAAUCGUUCUCAGAACAUAAAACACAAAUAGAGACAGCGUUUCACCAUGUUGGCCACUCUGGUCUCAAACUCUUGACCUCAGGUGAUCCGCCCGCCUCGGCCUCCCAAAGCGCUGAGAUUACAGGCGUGAGCCACCGUGCCCAGCCGAAAAUCAUUCUUACACCUACUGUCCUGGAGCUGACUUCAGUUUAAAAUCCCCUCAAUAAGUCACACCUUAAAAAAAAAAGGAGGGGUUAUUCCUGCUUUUGCCGUGCUGUGAUCCAGGGCAGAGCUCCAGGCUUCAUACGGUAAAACUCUCUGGGAAGGAAAGGAACUCAGAGUCCCAUGCAGAAAAUUGUUCAGCUGGAGGGGUAUCAGAAAGAUGGAUUUCCAAAGCCAACUGUUUCCUGUAGUGUGUGGAUCUCUGCAAGCAGAGCCUCAUCUUUCAAUUUCAGCUACAUGAAAGAGGAAGAAAGGGAAAGAUAUAUGUCAUACGUGAUAUACUUUAUGUGGCUUUGAAGACCCCUCUUUUGUGGGGCUACGGCUAAAGAACAUAGUUCCCUGGGAUGGAAUUGGCUCUUCCUAUUUCCCUACUUCAUGAAAACUCCAGUAGAAGACCUUAGAACCUUGUCCUGGUUACAUGGAUAUGUUUACUUUGUGAAAAUUCAUCAAGCACUAUGCACGGUCAUGAUUUGUACAUUUUUUUGUAAGAUAACUUCAUUAAAAUUUACUUUUUUU
Molecule: long non-coding RNA, 863 nt
Filed under: Homo sapiens (human)
Lineage: Eukaryota; Metazoa; Chordata; Mammalia; Primates; Hominidae
Description: HSALNT0358423
Source: RNAcentral